This 484-nucleotide ribosomal RNA is filed under the name uncultured bacterium. RNAcentral's name for it is "partial 16S ribosomal RNA". It matches the Rfam family "Bacterial small subunit ribosomal RNA", at positions 29 to 523 of the family's 1533-position model. The record is from RNAcentral.
AGUGAACGCUGGCGGCGUGCUUAACACAUGCAAGUCGAACGAGAACGGAUUAUAGCUUGCUAUAAUUGUCAGCUAAGUGGCGCACGGGUGAGUAAUGUAUAGGUAAUAUGCCUCUUACUAAGGGAUAACAAAUGGAAACGUUUGCUAAUACCUUAUACUCCUUAUUAACAUAAGUUAAUAAGGGAAAGAUUUAUUGGUAAGAGAUUAGCCUGUAUUGUAUCAGUUAGUUGGUGGGGUAAUGGCUUACCAAGACUAUGACACAUAACUGGUUUGAGAGGAUGAUCAGUCACACUGGAACUGAGACACGGUCCAGACUCCUACGGGAGGCAGCAGUGGGGAAUAUUGCACAAUGGACGAAAGUCUGAUGCAGCAACGCCGCGUGGAGGAUGACACAUUUCGGUGCGUAAACUCCUUUUAUAUGAGAAGAUAAUGACGGUAUCAUACGAAUAAGCACCGGCUAACUCCGUGCCAGCCGCCGCCGUAA